RNAcentral lists this ribosomal RNA (1441 nucleotides) under Melanochelys trijuga. RNAcentral describes it as "partial 16S ribosomal RNA". It matches the Rfam family "Bacterial large subunit ribosomal RNA", at positions 255 to 2622 of the family's 2925-position model. Lineage: Eukaryota; Metazoa; Chordata; Testudines; Geoemydidae. The record is from RNAcentral.
AAACCUAGCUCAGCCACAAACACAAAAUCAAACAAACAAAAUUAUCCUAACCAAAAUCAACUAAAACAUUUUCACAUCUUAGUAUAGGCGAUAGAAAAGACACUUGAAGCAAUAGAAAUAGUACCGCAAGGGAAAGAUGAAAAACAAUGAAACACUCACUUAAGCCCCAAAAAGCAAAGAUUAAUCCUUAUACCUUUUGCAUCAUGAUUUAGCCAGCAUAUUCAAGCAAAGAGCCCUAAAGCUUGAACCCCCGAAACCAAAUGAGCUACUUAAAGGCAGCCCAAAAGGCAAAUCCGUCUCUGUGGCAAAAGAGUGGAGAGACCUAUAAGUAGAGGUAAAAAGCCUAACGAACCUGGUGAUAGCUGGUUGCUCAAUAAAAGAAUAUAAGUUCAACCUUAAACCUUCUAUAAAACAAACUAAAGUAAAAAGAAAAGUUUAAGAUUUAUUCAAUGAGGUACAGCCCAAUUGAAAAAGGACACAACCUACAACGAAGGACAAAACACCAAACAUAUAACACCGUAGACCCUAAAGCAGCCACCACUAAAGAAAGCGUCAAAGCUCACCACCAAUUACUAAAAAUAACAACAUAAAAGUUUUCUCCCCAACAAAUAUGAGCCACUCUACCUAAAUAGAAGAACUAAUGCUAAAAUGAGUAACAAGAAGAUAAAACUUCUCUAGCGCGCUAGCUUAAGUUAUAAUAGACAAACUACUAACUAUUAACAGCCAACUAUAAUAAUAACACUUACUUAAAACACCAUAUAAAUCCAACUGUUAACCCAACACAGGAGCGCACACAAGAAAGAUUAAAAUUUGUAAAAGGAACUAGGCAAAUAAAGAGCCCGACUGUUUACCAAAAACAUAGCCCUCAGCAACAUACAAGUAUUAGGGGUAAUGCCUGCCCAGUGACAUUGUUAAACGGCCGCGGUAUCCUAACCGUGCAAAGGUAGCGUAAUCACUUGUCUCUUAAAUAAAGACUAGAAUGAAUGGCCAAACGAGGUUCUACCUGUCUCUUACAAACAAUCAGUGAAAUUGAUCUUCCCGUGCAAAAGCAGGAAUAAUAUUAUAAGACGAGAAGACCCUGCGGAACUUCAAAUACAAAUCAACUACAAUUAACAUCCACCUACGGGCCUACACAUCAAAUUAGCACCUGAUCUAUAUUUUUGGUUGGGGUGACCUCGGAGCAAAAUAAAACCUCCGAAAAUAGAACUACUAUCUAAACCUAGACCUACAGCCCAAAGUGCUUUCAGCAAAACGAUCCAAUAUAUUUGAUCAACGAAUCAAGCUACCCCAGGGAUAACAGCGCAAUCCCAUCCUAGAGUUCCUAUCGACGAUGGGGUUUACGACCUCGAUGUUGGAUCAGGACAUCCUGAUGGUGCAACCGCUAUCAAGGGUUCGUUUGUUCAACGAUUAACAGUCCCACGUGAUCUGAGUUAAACGGAGA